GCCCGGAUGGUGGAAUUGGCAGACACGCAGGACUUAAAAUCCUGUGGCCCGGAAGGGCCGUGCGGGUUCAAGUCCCGCUCCGGGUACGA
RNAcentral lists this transfer RNA (89 nucleotides) under Phaeodactylibacter sp. RNAcentral describes it as "tRNA-Leu". It matches the Rfam family "tRNA". Rfam says of the family: Transfer RNA (tRNA) molecules are approximately 80 nucleotides in length. Their secondary structure includes four short double-helical elements and three loops (D, anti-codon, and T loops). Further hydrogen bonds mediate the characteristic L-shaped molecular structure. tRNAs have two regions of fundamental functional importance: the anti-codon, which is responsible for specific mRNA codon recognition, and the 3' end, to which the tRNAs corresponding amino acid is attached (by aminoacyl-tRNA synthetases). tRNAs cope with the degeneracy of the genetic code in two manners: having more than one tRNA (with a specific anti-codon) for a particular amino acid; and 'wobble' base-pairing, i.e. permitting non-standard base-pairing at the 3rd anti-codon position. Lineage: Bacteria; Pseudomonadati; Bacteroidota; Saprospiria; Saprospirales; Haliscomenobacteraceae. The record is from RNAcentral.